RNAcentral lists this ribosomal RNA (899 nucleotides) under Aspergillus inflatus. RNAcentral describes it as "LSU rRNA". It matches the Rfam family "Eukaryotic large subunit ribosomal RNA", at positions 36 to 952 of the family's 3401-position model. Lineage: Eukaryota; Fungi; Ascomycota; Eurotiomycetes; Eurotiales; Aspergillaceae. The record is from RNAcentral.
UAGCAUAUCAAUAAGCGGAGGAAAAGAAACCAACCGGGAUUGCCUCAGUAACGGCGAGUGAAGCGGCAAGAGCUCAAAUUUGAAAUCUGGCCCCUCCGGGGUCCGAGUUGUAAUUUGCAGAGGAUGCUUCGGGCGCGGCCCCCGUCUAAGUGCCCUGGAACGGGCCGUCAUAGAGGGUGAGAAUCCCGUCUGGGACGGGGUGUCUGUGUCCGUGUGAAGCUCCUUCGACGAGUCGAGUUGUUUGGGAAUGCAGCUCUAAAUGGGUGGUAAAUUUCAUCUAAAGCUAAAUACUGGCCGGAGACCGAUAGCGCACAAGUAGAGUGAUCGAAAGAUGAAAAGCACUUUGAAAAGAGAGUUAAACAGCACGUGAAAUUGUUGAAAGGGAAGCGCUUGCGACCAGACUCGCCCGCGGGGUUCAGCCGGCCUUUGGGCCGGUGUACUUCCCCGCGGACGGGCCAGCGUCGGUUUGGGCGGCCGGUCAAAGGCCCCGGGAAUGUAUCGCCCUCCGGGGCGUCUUAUAGCCCGGGGUGCAAUGCGGCCUGCCCGGACCGAGGAACGCGCUUCGGCACGGACGCUGGCAUAAUGGUCGUAAGCGACCCGUCUUGAAACACGGACCAAGGAGUCUAACAUCUACGCGAGUGUUCGGGUGUCAAACCCGUGCGCGGAGUGAAAGCGAACGGAGGUGGGAGCCCCUCGGGGCGCACCAUCGACCGAUCCUGAUGUCUUCGGAUGGAUUUGAGUAAGAGCGUAAAUGUGGGGGACCCGAAAGAUGGUGAACUAUGCCUGAAUAGGGCGAAGCCAGAGGAAACUCUGGUGGAGGCUCGCAGCGGUUCUGACGUGCAAAUCGAUCGUCGAAUUUGGGUAUAGGGGCGAAAGACUAAUCUAACCAUCUGGUAGCU